UUAGUCUUUUAAUUAAAGACUUGAAUGAACGAUUAAACAAUUUAAUUCCUUUUUUUUAAAUACAAAGAAAUUUAAUUAAAUGUAAAAAUGCAUUUAUACCAAAAUUAGACGAUAAGACCCUAUUAAACUUUACUUUAGUUUAGCUGGGGAAGCUAAUUAAAUAUUAUUUUAAUUUUCCUUUUUAUAAAAACAUCCAAUAAAAUUGAUUUAUAAGUUACUAUAGGGAUAACAGCAUAAUAUUUUUUAAAAGCUCUUAUUAAAAAAAAAGUUUAUGACCUCGAUGUUGAAUUAAUUUUCUUUUAAAAGCAAC
Molecule: ribosomal RNA, 310 nt
Filed under: Pocobletus sp. CR02
Lineage: Eukaryota; Metazoa; Arthropoda; Arachnida; Araneae; Linyphiidae
Description: partial large subunit ribosomal RNA
Source: RNAcentral